This 314-nucleotide ribosomal RNA is filed under the name uncultured bacterium. RNAcentral's name for it is "bacterial SSU rRNA". It matches the Rfam family "Bacterial small subunit ribosomal RNA", at positions 29 to 329 of the family's 1533-position model. The record is from RNAcentral.
AACGAACGCUGGCGGCGUGGAUAAGACAUGCAAGUCGAACGGAUUUUCCGCUGUAGCAAUACAGUGGGAGGUCAGUGGCGCAGGGGGUGCGUAACACGUGGGCAACCUGCCCUGAAGUUGGGAUAGCCCGCCGAAAGGCGGAUUAAUACCGAAUGUGGCUAGCUGCCGAGUGGUGGCGACGCUAAAGCUGGGGCAACCUGGCGCUUCUGGAUGGGCCCGCGGCCUACAGCUUGUUGGUGAGGUAACGGCUCACCAAGGCGACGACGCGUAGCUGGUCUGAGAGGACGGCCAGCCACAUUGGGACUGAGACACUG